This 405-nucleotide ribosomal RNA is filed under the name Triticum aestivum (bread wheat). RNAcentral describes it as "partial small subunit ribosomal RNA". The record is from RNAcentral. Lineage: Eukaryota; Viridiplantae; Streptophyta; Magnoliopsida; Poales; Poaceae.
AUGCAUGUUUGCACUAAUGAACUGCUAUUAGUUUUCAAGUUGGACUUCAGUACUUGUGUAAAAUUUUGCAUAGUUUACUGCCGAAAUCUUCACCACAAAAGAAACACAUAUCAUUACCACUUGCAUAAUUUAGCAAAAAUGAAAAUUUUGCAUCUACUGUUUGUUUUUGCAGAAUGUACUUGUAUUUCUUAUGUACUUGAACUAUUCAAGGUAUUGAAAAUUGCCACUGUCAUAGGCAUCUUCAUUUCACACAAAGAACAGCAUAAAUUUCACUCAUUUUGGCAAUAUGGCAAAAAAAAAUCACAUAGGAGCACAUCACAUGAGAGAGAGAGAGAGAGAGAAAGCAGAGAAGAGCAGCAGCCUACGCAUGUUUUGUGGAGGACUCCUGCCCAUGAGUCGCGCUGA